GCAAGUCGAGCGAUAAUGCUAAGAUUAAUCCUUCGGGAGCGAGAAUAGCAUGAAAGCGGCGGACGGGUGAGUAACGCGUGGGUAACCUACCCUACACACAGGGAUAGCCAUUGGAAACGAUGAUUAAUACCUGAUAACACCAAAAGAUCACAUGGUCUUUUGGUCAAAGAUUUAUCGGUGUAGGAUGGACCCGCGUCUGAUUAGCUAGUUGGUAAGGUAACGGCUUACCAAGGCGACGAUCAGUAGCCGACCUGAGAGGGUGAUC
RNAcentral lists this ribosomal RNA (265 nucleotides) under uncultured bacterium. RNAcentral describes it as "partial 16S ribosomal RNA". It matches the Rfam family "Bacterial small subunit ribosomal RNA", at positions 57 to 305 of the family's 1533-position model. The record is from RNAcentral.